GGUUGUUUGGCCGAGCGGUCUAAGGCGCCUGAUUCAAGGAAAAUAAAUAAUCUUUGCCUGUAAAACAUUACGGGAAUACUCAGGUAUCGUAAGAUGCAAGAGUUCGAAUCUCUUAGCAACCA
RNAcentral lists this transfer RNA (122 nucleotides) under Naumovozyma dairenensis CBS 421. It matches the Rfam family "tRNA". From Rfam's summary of the family: Transfer RNA (tRNA) molecules are approximately 80 nucleotides in length. Their secondary structure includes four short double-helical elements and three loops (D, anti-codon, and T loops). The record is from Rfam by way of RNAcentral. Lineage: Eukaryota; Fungi; Ascomycota; Saccharomycetes; Saccharomycetales; Saccharomycetaceae.